This 70-nucleotide transfer RNA is filed under the name Perca fluviatilis (European perch). It matches the Rfam family "tRNA". From Rfam's summary of the family: Transfer RNA (tRNA) molecules are approximately 80 nucleotides in length. Their secondary structure includes four short double-helical elements and three loops (D, anti-codon, and T loops). Lineage: Eukaryota; Metazoa; Chordata; Actinopteri; Perciformes; Percidae. The record is from Rfam by way of RNAcentral.
GCCGAAAUAGCUCAGUUGGGAGAGCGUUAGACUGAAGAUCUAAAGGUCCCUGGUUCAACUCGGUUUCGCA